RNAcentral lists this small RNA (27 nucleotides) under Bombyx mori (domestic silkworm). RNAcentral's name for it is "ovarian small RNA-38177". The record is from RNAcentral. Lineage: Eukaryota; Metazoa; Arthropoda; Insecta; Lepidoptera; Bombycidae.
UUGUUCAAAUCUUUGGCUUGUGUACAA